RNAcentral lists this long non-coding RNA (224 nucleotides) under Capsella rubella. RNAcentral's name for it is "long non-coding RNA (CRUB_LNC003971)". Lineage: Eukaryota; Viridiplantae; Streptophyta; Magnoliopsida; Brassicales; Brassicaceae. The record is from RNAcentral.
CCACUCUAAAGACUCUACGUAUCGUAUUUAUAACUCUAGCACGACGUUCAAUACCAACUGACGCUUGUCUCGUUUUGUAUCUCUCUCUAUCUAUCUAUAUAUGUUACGGCCGUUUGAUUCUUUAUUAUCUUAGGUAUAACGGUAACAUAAUAAGUUAAGUAAUAAAUGGUUUUGUUUGUUGUUGGGGUAAGCUUAAGGGUUUUCGUGUUUAGGGUUAAGAUUUU